RNAcentral lists this long non-coding RNA (1366 nucleotides) under Triticum aestivum (bread wheat). Its description in RNAcentral is "long non-coding RNA (TAES_LNC017810)". The record is from RNAcentral. Lineage: Eukaryota; Viridiplantae; Streptophyta; Magnoliopsida; Poales; Poaceae.
AGACAGAUAGAUAGGUAUCUAUAUAUUAUUUUCAGGCACCACUUUUUAUCAUAUAAAUAAAUACUCGGUAAAUGAAUGAACGAGCUGGCAUUCAUGCAUUCCCUCAUUCAUGGAGAGUUAACCAUUUGAUUCAUUCAACCAGUCCAAUCUCUUGACAUGCACUGACCAAAAAAACAAUCCAAAUUUUACAACACUAUGUAUGUAGCAGUAGCAAUCCCUCCCUGAGACGAGACCUUUCAACAUAUAUCACCAUUCCAUCCAAUUUUUCACAACUCCCCGACGGAAAAGAAAAACACGAAAACGCCUAUCUGUUAUCUUCAAGAUUCGCUGGCCUAGGCCUCCUUGUAUUUCAACCUGUGUAGACAGCACAAGUUCUAUCUGUUGAUUGCUGAGACACGUCAAGCGAGUUCCCCCCUGCCUUCAACCAAUUGGGCCACCUCCUCGCAAGAUCUCCAAGGACUCUCUAGACCGGCAAGGCGUAUUGUAUUCGGCCAGAUCCAUUGGUGGUCGCUCACCAUCAUCCAUCCAUUCCAUGACAUGGAACCUGACAGCCAUAGGAACAAAUCAGAGCUUCAAAUCCACACACAAGUUAAAAAAUCGGUGGCCACAGCAACUUCACAAACUAAAUCUUCUCCAGUGAGUGAUAAAAAAAGAAACUAGAAAAUCUCACACAAACUGUUGUUUCAUACUAUUAUAAGGAAGACGACAAAAGCAACAUCAUCAUGCUUUGAUCAAAACCCCUUUAAAACAAGAGCAACCCUUCAGUUGUACAUAAGCUAGCAAAACUAACGACGGACAGUCGCAUAAUCCAAGUGCCGGCAGGCAUCAUCUUUGACAUGCUGGUGGUGGCAUAGCUUUGCCACAAAAGUACUGCAAGCAUCAACCUCACAAACAAAAUGUUUUCUAGUGACUGAUCCAAAGACACUAGACAAUCCAACACCAAGUGUUGGCUUAUACUACAACUAGGAGAUGGCAACAAACAAUAGCAUGCUUUGCUCAAAACCAAAAAGGAGAGGGAAAACCAAGAUGCCCAACCAUUGAGCUAGCGAAAAUGAAGAUGUACGGUCACAUACACCCAAGUAAGUGUUGGCGGUGCCACUAUGGCAUCACCUUUCAGAGGCUGGUGGCAUAGCUUCGUAAGGAAAGAAAUAUAGUGUGCAACUACUUCUACAAAGCAAUGUAUCAGGGGGUGCAGGAAACAUCAUUGGAGCUCUUAGUAUCACCUUUUUCAUCCAAAAAACACACCACGCCCCCUAAUUAGUGUUAUCCUACAAAGAAAAGAUCAUAAAAGAACCCCAGGAAAGUUAUUCUCUCUAGUUCAGUAAUUGCUUCCAAACAAAACUGAGAAGCACCACCAAAAGCCGAU